RNAcentral lists this ribosomal RNA (917 nucleotides) under Glonium pusillum. RNAcentral's name for it is "eukaryotic LSU rRNA". It matches the Rfam family "Eukaryotic large subunit ribosomal RNA", at positions 1 to 934 of the family's 3401-position model. Lineage: Eukaryota; Fungi; Ascomycota; Dothideomycetes; Gloniales; Gloniaceae. The record is from RNAcentral.
CUUGACCUCGGAUCAGGUAGGGAUACCCGCUGAACUUAAGCAUAUCAAUAAGCGGAGGAAAAGAAACCAACAGGGAUUGCCCUAGUAACGGCGAGUGAAGCGGCAACAGCUCAAAUUUGAAAUCUGGCGUCUUUGGCGUCCGAGUUGUAAUUUGCAGAGGGCGCUUUGGCAUUGGCAGCGGUCCAAGUUCCUUGGAACAGGACGUCACAGAGGGUGAGAAUCCCGUACGUGGUCGCUAGCCUUUACCGUGUAAAGCCCCUUCGACGAGUCGAGUUGUUUGGGAAUGCAGCUCUAAAUGGGAGGUAAAUUUCUUCUAAAGCUAAAUACUGGCCAGAGACCGAUAGCGCACAAGUAGAGUGAUCGAAAGAUGAAAAGCACUUUGGAAAGAGAGUUAAAAAGCACGUGAAAUUGUUGAAAGGGAAGCGCUUGCAGCCAGACUUGCCUGUAGUUGCUCAUCCGGGUUUUUACCCGGUGCACUCUUCUACGGGCAGGCCAGCAUCAGUUUGGGCGGUUGGAUAAAGGUCUCUGUCAUGUACCUCCUCUCGGGGAGAUCUUAUAGGGGAGACGACAUGCAACCAGCCUGGACUGAGGUCCGCGCAUCUGCUAGGAUGCUGGCGUAAUGGCUGUAAGCGGCCCGUCUUGAAACACGGACCAAGGAGUCUAACAUCUAUGCGAGUGUUUGGGUGUCAAGCCCGAACGCGUAAUGAAAGUGAACGGAGGUGGGAACCUUUCGGGGUGCACCAUCGCCCGAUCCUAAUGUCUUCGGAUGGAUUUGAGUAAGAGCAUAGCUGUUGGGACCCGAAAGAUGGUGAACUAUGCUUGAAUAGGGUGAAGCCAGAGGAAACUCUGGUGGAGGCUCGCAGCGGUUCUGACGUGCAAAUCGAUCGUCAAAUUUGGGCAUAGGGGCGAAAGACUAA